CAUUUUUCUGUUCUAUGCUAUAUUUUGCUUUGAAAAGACUUUAAUGGAGUCACAGUAGGAAUAUUCUUUUUCCAGUUGGGUGUAGCAAUCACGGUAAUGACAUACACGAACUUGUGGUUACUUGCUCACUUUCAGUGGCAAAGAAGAGGCCGUCGUUCACUGCUGCCAGAAAACAUAGUCCCUCAGUGUGGGUCAUUUUCAUUAGGUGCCUUCUGUGGACCUUGCCCUAAGUAGAACACUGUGGUCUGAGGAGUUUCUUUUUAUAUUUUGAAGAUAUAUUGCCAGCUAGGGUAGCAUUUAUGGUCCAGUAUCAUUGUACAACUAAACAGUGAUUUUUCUUAACUCAUCUUGCUGGCAGUAUCUCGUCUCUUCAAAUUAUUUUAAAAAUUAGCUGGGUGUGGUGCUACACGCCUGUAGUCCUAGCUACCCGGGAGACUGAAGCAGGUGCAUCACUUGAGUUUGAGGUGAUAGUGAGCUGUUAUCGUGCCACUGCACUCCACCCUGGGCAACAGAGCGAAACCCUG
RNAcentral lists this long non-coding RNA (524 nucleotides) under Homo sapiens (human). RNAcentral describes it as "non-protein coding lnc-LAMC2-1:1". Lineage: Eukaryota; Metazoa; Chordata; Mammalia; Primates; Hominidae. The record is from RNAcentral.